UACGUAGGGGGCGAGCGUUAUCCGGAAUUACUGGGCGUAAAGCGCACGCAGGCGGUUCGCCAAGUUCGGAGUGACAGUUGUCGGCUCAACCGACAAAGGACUUCAAAAACUGGUGAACUUGAGGACGAGAGAGGAACAUGGAACUCCAGGUGUAGUAGUGAAAUGCGUAGAUAUCUGGAAGAACACCAAUGGCGAAGGCAAUGUUCUGGCUCGUUUCUGACGCUCAGGUGCGAAAGCCAGGGGAGCGAACGGG
RNAcentral lists this ribosomal RNA (253 nucleotides) under uncultured bacterium. RNAcentral describes it as "partial 16S ribosomal RNA". It matches the Rfam family "Bacterial small subunit ribosomal RNA", at positions 524 to 776 of the family's 1533-position model. The record is from RNAcentral.